Molecule: transfer RNA, 78 nt
Filed under: Candidatus Omnitrophota bacterium
Lineage: Bacteria; Pseudomonadati; Candidatus Omnitrophota
Description: tRNA-Val
Rfam family: tRNA
About the family: Transfer RNA (tRNA) molecules are approximately 80 nucleotides in length. Their secondary structure includes four short double-helical elements and three loops (D, anti-codon, and T loops).
Source: RNAcentral
GGGCGCUUAGCUCAGUCUGGUUAGAGCGUUGCGUUGACAUCGCAAAGGUCACAGGUUCAAGUCCUGUAGCGCCCACCA